UCCCUGGCCGGGAAAUUUCCAUAUGCUGCAAGCACGCCCCCCGCCAAAAGACCCAAAGUAAACCCACACAUCUUCGCACUAAACCAGCCCAUCUAACUAAACCAGCCCAUCUAACUAAACCAGCCCAUCUAACUAAACCAGCCCAUCUAACUAAACCAGCACACACACCCCCCCACUACCUCCAGCACGCAGAGCCCGUGGCCACCCGCACUUCCAGCCGAUACCGUACAGUCGGCUCGAGGACAUUGCUGCGGAAGUCUGGCCACGGUGCCCCUCCCAACACCCAAGCGAGAACACAGCCGACUGAGGGCACUGCUGGGGCUCCCCCUCCUGACCGUGCGGCGUCACCUACAUGGCAGGCCCUGCCAACAUAGCUGUUUCAGGCUGGCUGCUGGCUGCCUCGGGGCACACAGUCCAGAGGCAGGCAGGGCACAGCUGCAGGACCUCCAGCCUGCAAAGGCCUCUACCUGCGUCCAGGACGCCCGAGUUUGAGACACAACUCUGAAACUGAGUGUCCCUCAACAGGCUCAUUUUACCUUCUUCAGGGUUAAAUCUGAUCCUGAAAAGGAGAAGGUGGGUUUGUUGACGGUGAAGGUCCAUACUCUGGAUAUUCCACAACGGCUGCCAACAGGAGAGGCUAGUAAUUAACUGUAGUGGUUAACGAGAGUGACCCAUAUCCUCACAGCUCAAAACGAAACAAACAGGAGUUCCCGUCGUGGCUCAGGGGCUUGUGAACCCGACUAGCAUCCGUGAGGACCUGGGUUCGACCCCUGGCUUUGCUCAGUGGGUUGAGGAUCCGGCGUUGCCGUGAGCUGUGGUGUAGGUCACAGACAUGGCUUGGAUCCCACAUUGCUGUGCCUGUGGUGUAGGCCAGCAGCUUCAGCUCUGAUUAGAUCCCUAGCCUAGAACCUCCAUAUGCCGCAGGUGCAGCCCUAAAAAAAAAAAAAAAAAAAAAAAAAAAUUUCACUAAUACUUGGUUUGUUAAUAUUAAUAUUAGAUUUGAUCAAAUCAAAGUGCUAAUUUUCACAACAGUUUUCUGCCCAUAGGAAAAAAAGGGCUAUUUCAGGAGUUCCCAUUGUGGCUCAGCAGUAAUGAACCCGACUUGAAGCCAGGAGGAUGCAUGUUUGAUCCCUGGCCUUGCUCAGUGGGUUAAGGAUUGGGUGUUGCCAUGAGUCGUGGUGUAGGUCACAGAGCAUAUGGAGGUUGCCAGACUAGGGGUCGAAUUGGAGCUGUAGCGGCCGGCCUACACCACAUCAACGCGGGUUCUGAGCCUUGUCUGCGACCUACACCACAGUUCACCACCACACAAGAUCCUUAACCCACUAAGCGAAGCCAGGGAUCGAACCCACAACCUUAUGGAUGCUAGUCAGGUUCUCUAACCAUUGAGCCAUGACGGGAACUCCCCAGACACAAUUCCCCUCUCUCUGGAUAGUGUUCUUCUCUCUUUUUUCUUGAAAUGCAUUUGUUACAGAGACGGGGCAGGUUGUCCUGUGGACUACCCCCCUUUCUGGCUCCUACCGGCUGCAUCACAUCUUAAAGGAUGCUUCUCAGCCCCUGUAUUUCCUGUAGACCUGUGGUUGGAUCUCGAGGCUUUGAGGCAAAUGUGAUGUUUUUUACAAGAACGCCUCCACCAGGGCGGUGCUGCGGGGGGAAGCACCUGCCACUGAUGGCUACUGGCCCCUGCCUCUCAUAUUUGGAUAUGAUACUUUUUUUUUUUUUUUUUUUUUUUGGCCACACCUAUAGCAUGUGGAAGUUCCCAGGGCCAGGGAUCAAAUCCAAGCUGCAGCCCCGUGACCUACCAUAGCUGUGGCAACACUAGAUCCUUUAACCCGCUGCCCUGGGGCCAGGGAUCAAACCCAAUCCUCCACAUCAAAUAAACUGCUGCAGAGACAUCAGACCUUAGCCCACUGUGCUACAGCGGGAACUCCUCGGAUACACUAUUCUUCAACAGUCUGAUUCUGCCCUUCCUUCUUCAUAUAUUAAUGGAAACAGUUACAUAAGGCUACAUUCUCCUGCUUGACUACUUGGUCACCCCGAGGUACACACCAUUCAGAAAAGUCUAGCUAAAUGCACCAUCCUUAACCUUCGGUCAUAGCUUUCGAAGUAACACGAGUUCCUCAGAGUGGCCCCAGGUAAACAACCCAUUAGCCACCAUUUCAUGGACGCUCCAAUUGUUCCAACCCUGGCCGAGGGCUCUUCAGACCUAGACGCGGCCACACCCCAAGGGGCACUGCAGCUUCCGGCGGUUCAGGCCCACCACCACUCCCCCAGCAUGCCCACUGCCUCAGCCUUCCUGGGCCUUUGCACCAGAGAGCGAGGAAACCAGCUUUUUGUGUUUGAGAGAAAACCCUCAUGCGUUCCGAGGGAUAUUUCCAAUUUAAAUUUAGGAAUACAAGGUUACCGAUGACUGUCUCUGGUGUCAUCUGCACCCACUCCUCCCAGGGUCAAAGCCGGCGUGUGAUGUUACGGUAACUUCAUUUCCACUGUAUCCUAAAACACACGUAACGGCUGCGAAGUAACAAUGCCAGUACUAUUACUAAUAAAAUGACUAUUGAA
This 2556-nucleotide long non-coding RNA is filed under the name Sus scrofa (pig). RNAcentral's name for it is "lncRNA (ENSSSCG00005030625.1)". Lineage: Eukaryota; Metazoa; Chordata; Mammalia; Artiodactyla; Suidae. The record is from RNAcentral.